This 22-nucleotide microRNA is filed under the name Drosophila melanogaster (fruit fly). Its description in RNAcentral is "dme-miR-92a-5p". Its record names the gene dme-miR-92a-5p. RNAcentral also lists the same sequence under 4 other names. Lineage: Eukaryota; Metazoa; Arthropoda; Insecta; Diptera; Drosophilidae. The record is from miRBase by way of RNAcentral.
AGGACGGGAAGGUGUCAACGUU